Molecule: ribosomal RNA, 404 nt
Filed under: uncultured bacterium
Lineage: Bacteria
Description: partial 16S ribosomal RNA
Rfam family: Bacterial small subunit ribosomal RNA
Source: RNAcentral
GACGAACGCUGGCGGCGUGCUUAACACAUGCAAGUCGAGCGGAGCGGCGAACGGGUGAGUAACGCGUGCGUAACUGCCCCCCUCUCUGGGAUAACAGUUGGAAAAGGCUGCUAAUACCGGAUAGUGGGGGAUGACUGGCGUCCUACCAGCUUGUUGGUUGGGUAGUGGCCUACCAAGGCGACGGCGGGUAGCCGGCCUGAGAGGGCUCCCGGACACAUUGGGCUGUGAUACGGCCCAAACUCCUACGGGUGGCAGGAGUGGGGAAUAUUGCGCAGUGGGGGAAACGCUGGUGCAGCAACGCGCGUGCGGGAUGACGGCCGUCGGGUUGUAAACCGCUUUCAGCCAUAACGCGGUAGUGGCAGAAGAAGCACCGGCUAACUACGUGCCAGCCGCCGCGGUAAUAC